AUACGGAGGGUGCAAGCGUUGUUCGGAUUUACUGGGCGUAAAGCGCGUGUAGGCGGCUUUGUAAGUCAGAUGUGAAAGCCCUUGGCUUAACCGAGGAAGUGCAUUUGAUACUGCAAGGCUUGAAUACGGGAGAGGAAAGUGGAAUUCCUAGUGUAGAGGUGAAAUUCGUAGAUAUUAGGAAGAACACCAGUGGCGAAGGCGACUUUCUGGACCGAUAUUGACGCUAAGACGCGAAAGCGUGGGGAGCAAACAGGAUUAGAAACCCUAGUAGUCC
Molecule: ribosomal RNA, 274 nt
Filed under: uncultured bacterium
Lineage: Bacteria
Description: partial 16S ribosomal RNA
Rfam family: Bacterial small subunit ribosomal RNA
Source: RNAcentral